Non-coding RNA from Hymenopellis radicata, 81 nucleotides. The record is from the annotation of a GenBank genome assembly. Lineage: Eukaryota; Fungi; Basidiomycota; Agaricomycetes; Agaricales; Physalacriaceae.
GGCCGCCUGGCGAAAUGGCAUCGCGUCUGACUACGAGCGUUUAUGAUCAGGAGAUUGCAGGUUCGAGCUCUGCGGUGGUCA